GGAGCUUAACCAACCACAUGCGAGUUUGACCAGAGCCUCUUUAAGACUCUUAUUAGACAUUCUCUGGUUUGACUUUGCGUCCUGGGUCGAAAGCUACCAGCCAUCUGGACUAACAGUUACUGCUAUCUUAGCUUUUAAUUGUUGACAGAGAGUACUGUAGCCUAUAUAUGAAGGGGUAUCAUGUCAGUCUUACGCUGUUGUUCGCCGCUUGGUUUUGAAGGGUAUUUAGGUGAACUUGAAUGAAUGGGCUGGUCAGCUAUAUACUGUAAUUAGCUAGCACACAUUUUAAACGAAUUUCUGGCUAGCAGUCCGUAACAAUCCGUUGUCUGAUAUCAUCUAGCAGUGAGCUGUUCAUUUGUGCACGUUUAUAACCAUGGCGACAUGGAAUCUCACGCUACACUGCUCAAGGCUAUUUGUCUACAAUAGACUUUUUGCGCAGGUGGCAAAUCUGAGAGUAAGUUCUCAAUUUGCAUCCUAUCAUCCCACCAGCACUCUCCAAAGAAGAGACGGUGAGGCGAAACCAGACGUUAGGAAGCGGCGUAGCGUUCUCCCCAGCGCUGGUGAUCAACACAGGCCCGCCGUGUCCGGGACAUGGCAGGGGCAUCACGGGGCCGAAGACAUACCGGAGAUACCGGCCGUGAAAAAAGUUUGGAGGGCCGAUGCCCCGGGUCCCAGGGAGAGCCGACCCUGGGCUGAAGGAAGAGUGUCGUCUGAGCUCCAGAAACUCAGUCUGGACGACUUCCCUAAGGCGCGUGAAAAGGUCGGAAAAGACUCGAAAGAAGAGAGAAACAGCGAGACUUUGUUCGGGGUGUCGCCUUGUCUGCUGGCACUGACCCAGGGCAGGAGGCGGGCCCGGAGGUUAUAUGUGAAGGAGGGAGACGCGUCUAAACGGGCCUCGGUUCAGCAGGUGUGUGAAGAGGCCCACCGGAGGGGGGUGCAGAUACAGAGGGUCAGUAAAAAGGAACUGGAUAAGAUGUGUUCUGGAAGGGUCCACCAGGGCGUGUGUCUACAAGCCAGUCCUCUCACUUUCCUCUCCGAGGACGAGCCUUCGAAGCCCCCAAGCGCCGGCAGCGCCCCCCCCCUCUGGCUGGUCCUGGACGCGGUGCAGGACCCCAUGAACCUGGGAGCCAUCCUCCGCUCUGCAUACUUCCUAGGGGUGGACAGGAUCGCCAGCAGUCUUCACAACAGCUGUCCCCUGACACCCGUGGUGAGCAAGGCCAGCUCAGGGGUGAUGGAGGUCAUGGAGCUGUAUGGAUAUGAAAGCCUGGCUGAUAUGCUGAAGGUGAAGGUGUCUCAUGGCUGGAGGUGUGUGUCUCCAGGUGAAAGUGUCUCAGGGCUGGCAGGUGGUGGGGACAGUUGGGGCGGAGGGGCGGGGCUUCCCGGCUCCUGUGCUCUGUUGCUCAGAGUUCAGCAUGACCAGACCCACACUGCUGCUCAUGGGUGGAGAGGGGGGUGGUCUCUCUCCAGAGCUGUGCCUGCAGUGUGAGGUCCUGCUGACGAUCCCUCCCCUCAGAGCCCUGGUCCCCGGGGUGGAGUCCCUGAACGUGUCUGUGGCUACAGGCAUCUUGCUGCAUUCUCUUCUGUCGCCGCGGAGAGGAGGCCAGCGCUGAGCAGCCUCCCUGGUGCCUCACAGCCUCCAUGGUGCCUCACAGCCUCCCUGGUGCCUCACAGCCUCCCUGGUGCCUCACAGCCUCCCUGGUGCCUCACAGCUGGAGGUUCAGGCCAGUCAGUAGACCAGCCUGCUGACCGAAGAGAGGGAGAAAGGGGAGGAGGAAGAGGAGAGAGGGGGGCUACUCAAGGGCUGUGGAGAUGUGUCAACUUGUGUCCUGAAUUCAUGUGUUCACCACUGCAGACAGGCCAAUAUGUCUGCCCACUGUACAUCUGAAGUGUGUGUGGUGUUAGAAAAUAGCUAGCAUCAUCCAGGUGUCGCCCCAUGGACAAGCACAUCAUCCAGAUCUAUAGAACGCCAGCCCUCCAUACGUCUGCUGUAGGUGAAGUCUAUUAAAGGUUUUUACCUAAAUAUUUUGACUGCAUUUGGGAAUCGCAAAAAUCGGGGGGAGGACACCUAGAUGAAGGACGCAUUAGGGUAUAGGACACAUAGAUGAAGGACGCAUUAGAGGGUAUAGGACACAUAGAUGA
RNA transcript from Hypomesus transpacificus, 2139 nucleotides. It is a transcript of the gene named mitochondrial rRNA methyltransferase 1 homolog (S. cerevisiae), with no coding region annotated. Lineage: Eukaryota; Metazoa; Chordata; Actinopteri; Osmeriformes; Osmeridae. The record is from RefSeq and is a predicted model, not a curated record. The transcript has 5 exons.